RNAcentral lists this ribosomal RNA (424 nucleotides) under uncultured prokaryote. Its description in RNAcentral is "bacterial SSU rRNA". It matches the Rfam family "Bacterial small subunit ribosomal RNA", at positions 355 to 796 of the family's 1533-position model. The record is from RNAcentral.
UGGGGAAUCUUGCACAAUGGGCGAAAGCCUGAUGCAGCCAUGCCGCGUGAAUGAUGAAGGUCGUAGGGUUGUAAAAUUCUUUCAACGGUGACGAUAAUGACGGUAGCCGUAGAAGGAGCACCGGCUAACUUCGUGCCAGCAGCCGCGGUAAUACGAAGGGGGCUAGCGUUGUUCGGAAUUACUGGGCGUAAAGCGCGCGUAGGCGGACUCUUAAGCCAGAUGUGAAAUCCCGAGGCUCAACCUCGGAACUGCAUUUGGAACUGGGAGUCUAGAGGUCAGGAGAGGUUCGUCGAAUGCCGAGUGUAGAGGUGAAAUUCGUAGAUAUUCGGUGGAACACCAGUGGCGAAGGCGACGAACUGGACUGAUACUGACGCUGAGGUGCGAAAGUGUGGGGAGCAAACAGGAUUAGAUACCCCCGUAGUCC